GAUGAACGCUGGCGGCGUGCCUAAUACAUGCAAGUCGAGCGAACGGACGAGAAGCUUGCUUCUCUGAUGUUAGCGGCGGACGGGUGAGUAACACGUGGAUAACCUACCUAUAAGACUGGGAUAACUUCGGGAAACCGGAGCUAAUACCGGAUAAUAUUUUGAACCGCAUGGUUCAAAAGUGAAAGACAGUCUUGCUGUCACUUAUAGAUGGAUCCGCGCUGCAUUAGCUAGUUGGUAAGGUAACGGCUUACCAAGGCAACGAUGCAUAGCCGACCUGAGAGGGUGAUCGGCCACACUGGAACUGGGACACGGUCCAGACUCCUACGGGAGGCAGCAGUAGGGAAUCUUCCGCAAUGGGCGAAGGCCUGACGGAGCAACGCCGCGUGAGUGAUGAAGGUCUUCGGAUCGUAAAACUCUGUUAUUAGGGAAGAACAUAUGUGUAAGUAACUGUGCACAUCUUGACGGUACCUAAUCAGAAAGCCCCGGCUAACUACGUGCCAGCCGCCGCGGUAAUACGUAGGUGGCAAGCGUUAUCCGGAAUUAUUGGGCGUAAAGCGCGCGUAGGCGGUUUUUUAGUCUGAUGUGAAAGCCCACGGCUCAACCGUGGAGGGUCAUUGGAAACUGGAAAACUUGAGUGCAGAAGAGGAAAGUGGAAUUCCAUGUGUAGCGGUGAAAUGCGCAGAGAUAUGGAGGAACACCAGUGGCGAAGGCGACUUUCUGGUCUGUAACUGACGCUGAUGUGCGAAAGCGUGGGGAUCAAACAGGAUUAGAUACCCUGGUAGUCCACGCCGUAAACGAUGAGUGCUAAGUGUUAGGGGGUUUCCGCCCCUUAGUGCUGCAGCUAACGCAUUAAGCACUCCGCCUGGGGAGUACGACCGCAAGGUUGAAACUCAAAGGAAUUGACGGGGACCCGCACAAGCGGUGGAGCAUGUGGUUUAAUUCGAAGCAACGCGAAGAACCUUACCAAAUCUUGACAUCCUUUGACAACUCUAGAGAUAGAGCCUUCCCCUUCGGGGGACAAAGUGACAGGUGGUGCAUGGUUGUCGUCAGCUCGUGUCGUGAGAUGUUGGGUUAAGUCCCGCAACGAGCGCAACCCUUAAGCUUAGUUGCCAUCAUUAAGUUGGGCACUCUAAGUUGACUGCCGGUGACAAACCGGAGGAAGGUGGGGAUGACGUCAAAUCAUCAUGCCCCUUAUGAUUUGGGCUACACACGUGCUACAAUGGACAAUACAAAGGGCAGCGAAACCGCGAGGUCAAGCAAAUCCCAUAAAGUUGUUCUCAGUUCGGAUUGUAGUCUGCAACUCGACUACAUGAAGCUGGAAUCGCUAGUAAUCGUAGAUCAGCAUGCUACGGUGAAUACGUUCCCGGGUCU
Molecule: ribosomal RNA, 1371 nt
Filed under: uncultured bacterium
Lineage: Bacteria
Description: bacterial SSU rRNA
Rfam family: Bacterial small subunit ribosomal RNA
Source: RNAcentral